UGGGGAAUUUUGGACAAUGGGCGCAAGCCUGAUCCAGCCAUGCCGCGUGCGGGAAGAAGGCCUUCGGGUUGUAAAAUCCUUUCGUGGGGGACGAUAAUGACGGUACCCCAAGAAGAAGCUCCGGCUAACUUCGUGCCAGCAGCCGCGGUAAUACGAAGGGGGCUAGCGUUGUUCGGAUUUACUGGGCGUAAAGCGCGUGUAGGCGGGUCGUUAAGUUGGGGGUGAAAUCCCGAGGCUCAACCUCGGAACUGCCUCUGAUACUGCACGUCUUGAGUUCGAGAGAGGUGGGUGGAAUUCCUAGUGUAGAGGUGAAAUUCGUAGAUAUUAGGAAGAACACCGGUGGCGAAGGCGGCCCACUGGCUCGAUACUGACGCUGAGGUGCGAAAGCGUGGGGAGCAAACAGGAUUAGAUACCCUCGUAGUCCCUGAGCGGGCUGGCAAGGCGCAU
Molecule: ribosomal RNA, 447 nt
Filed under: uncultured bacterium
Lineage: Bacteria
Description: bacterial SSU rRNA
Rfam family: Bacterial small subunit ribosomal RNA
Source: RNAcentral